GGGGGUGCGCCCUGUGACGGAUUUUAGGCUUGAAAAGUCGGGGGCGGGGGAAUGUAACCAGGACUCUCCCAUCCAAGGCAUGCAGACUGGGGAAUGUUUCGGUGUACAAGAGAUGAAAUAGGGAUGGAGUGCCCCCCACGUUCUUUCUGCAAGUGCCUAUUUGUGAGUGUGUGUAUCUGGGAUUUUCAGUGCUUUACCGGGGCUCUUGUGCAGAGUGCACGGUGAAGGCUGCGAGGAGAGAUCUCAUCCGCUGUCCACUGGGGAAUGGCCUUGCCCUAUGGCCCCUACCAAACAAAAACGUAGCAGAACACAGCAAAACAGCAGAGUCGGAAUGUGAAGUGCUGAUAGAGUUCCCUAACGCUGACUGUCUGCUCUGCAUUUCUGGAGAUUGUAUGCCUGUCAUCCUGCAUUCCUUGCUACAGCCACAAGCUGUCUCCACCAUCAGAUGUGGCUUACCUGGUUCCUGAGUCAAUUCCAUCCAGAUGGUGAAGCCAAGGCCUGAAGACCUUUCCUGCAAGGUCGCAGAGGAAGAGGCAGAAGAAGGACCAGAACCCAGCUCCCCUGACUCCCUAUCCAGUGCUCUUCUCAUAGAUUACAUUGCUUCAGCAUCCACCUGGCUAUUGCUCCAUCCAGGGGUUACAGGAGUCACUGACUGUUUUGGUUGCUUCUUGGUUGGAGGAUGUUGUGCCUCACCGAUGAGAGCCGGAAGCAAAGGUACCAGUUCUUAGAGGAAGCAUAGGAAUGUGUCCCUUCCUGCUCGGGUCUCUCAACUGAACUCAACCCUUCCUUGAUUGAUUGACAAGCAUGUUAUCUCUCAUAAUCCCUGCCCGGUAAGGGCUGAUGUCCCCAUUUUACAGAUGAGGAUAUUGGAGCUCAGAGAAGUGAAAUGAUUGCUGAAGGUCACACAGCCUGGCUUCAAGCCUCUCGGGCUCCAAAAGGCAUCUUCUGUUCUCUCCGUCAGGAAGCCUCUUUUGGAUGAUUAACUGAGAUUAAAAAUGAAAAGACACAUGAAA
This 1013-nucleotide long non-coding RNA is filed under the name Homo sapiens (human). RNAcentral's name for it is "novel transcript". Lineage: Eukaryota; Metazoa; Chordata; Mammalia; Primates; Hominidae. The record is from RNAcentral.